GCCUAGAAGGGAUAGCUCAGGUGGUACAGCAUGAGACUCUUUCUCUCUGGGUUGUGGGUUCGAGCCCCACAUUGGGUG
Molecule: non-coding RNA, 78 nt
Organism: Podarcis lilfordi (Lilford's wall lizard)
Lineage: Eukaryota; Metazoa; Chordata; Lepidosauria; Squamata; Lacertidae
Source: the annotation of a GenBank genome assembly